CACAUUGAGUGGAUGUUUUCAGAGAACUAUCCACAUUGAAUUUCAUCUGCCAUUUUGUUGCCCAGUCACUCUGUUUUGUGAGUUCUUUGAAGUCUGCUUGGUAUUUAACUAUUUUGAGUAAUUUUGUAUCAUCUGCAAAUUUUGCCACCUCACUGUUUACCCCUUUUUCCAGAUCAUUUAUGAAUAUGUUGAAUUGGAGUGAUCCCAGUGCAGACCCUUGAGGGACACCACUAUUUAUCUCUCUCCAUUCUGAAAACUGACCAUUUAUUCCUACCCUUUGUUUCUUUUUAGUUAACCAGUUACCAAUCCAUGAAAGGACCUUCCCUCUUAUCCCAUGACAACCCCCAUCUGCCCCUCCCCAGAGAGCAGAAGUUGAUUUUCUUUGGGCUUGUCUACAUUACCUGCCGGAUGGACAGGCAGCGAUCGAUCCAGCGGGGGUCAAUUUAUCGUGUCUAAUAUAGACACGAUAAAUUGACUGCCGAUCGUCUAGUGUCAACUCCGGUACUCCACCUCUACGAGAAGUACAAGGGGAAUCGACGGGAGAGUGACACACUGCAGUGAAGACACCGCAGUAAGUAGAUCUAAGUAUGUCAACUUCAGCUACGUUAUUCACCUAGCUGAAGUUGCAUAACUUAGAUCGAUAUCCACCCUCACCCCAGUGUAGACAAGCCUGUUCAUCUUGAACACACUGAGUAACAGCAUAGCUAAAUAAGGCAAAUUCCUGACAGAAGUUUAAGCAAGCAUUCAUCAGAUCUGCAUCAUUCUUUCAGGGCCUUUCUCUCUCUCCUGUUGUUAGCACUGUAGCAUUUUGGAGCCCCACCGUCACUAGACAUUGUCCAUCUCUUCAUCAAUGAGAGACCCCCUGCCUGGUGCAAGUCUUUGAAUAUUAACUUGCUUUUUUAUAUUAGUUGUGGAGUCUGAGAGCCAAUUCUGUAGCCCCACUCAGUUCCUUUUGUGCUGCCAGAAGGAUGCAAAAGUGAUAGAAUGGGGAAUGGCCUGAUGGUGUAGAUCUCACUGUUUCCAUGGCAUAGCCUCUUCUCCUGCCAUCAUUCCUCCCCAUGUAGGAGACAUUUGAGAAUGUUACUGAAGCACACUGAACCCUAGUGAUCAAAAGCGAAUACUGCUGGUACAAGUUAGAGCAGCUUUGACACUCCCUCCAAAGAUCAAGAGUGGAGAGUCACCUAACCCUCCUGUGACACAGAGACUCCCUGGUAAAGGGUUCCCUGUUCUUUGCAAACACCUCUUGUCUCAGAUUGGAUAAACUCACUACACCAAACACAUGUAUUGCGGGGUAUUUAUCCAUAAUGGGUAACAUGUAAGAUAUCUACAAAAAGCUCAUAACUUAUCAAGACUCAUUAUCAUUGCGAGAUGUAUGGAUGGGUAAUAGUUAAGAAAUAAUGUAACUAUAUGGAAAGUGUGCUUUGUGGACUUGGAGUAGUCACCAGGAGCUAAUAUGUCUCGAUGAUGGCCCAUUCAAGUAGGAGGGAGUUGUCACGCCAUACUGGUCAGUCAGUGAUGCAGGCAAGGCUCCAUAACCUAGCCUUGCUUUUUCCCAAGACUUUCAAUGGAAAACCAUCAGAGACAAUUGCAAACAAUCAAAAAAAUAAGGAACAUUACAACAGACAGAGACUCACCCUGCCUAUGAGUAAAGACAAAAUACUGUUUCAAUAUAAUGGAGAGGGGAAAGAAUCUGGAUUAAUUCACUGAGGAAACAUUUUGUGGAGCAGGGGGUGCUUUUUGUGAAAGUUUGGAUCCUGGUUGCUCUAAAGCCAGCCAACUCCGCAACAGUCUGAACUUGGAAGGGAAAACCUACUUUAUGAGAUAGGAAAGGUAAUAAUAAUAUGUGUAGGCCCUAGUUCACAUUUUAUGAUUUUGUUUUGUAUUGUAACCCUUUGUUUCCAUCAUUCUCUCGUUUCUAGUAGAAUCUCUAUCCAGUUUUAAAUUAACCUUCUUUUGUUUUAUUGCAAGUGCUGUGCCUGCUACAGGAGCGGUGGUUUACGGUAAAACAAGCUAAUUGGGGUACACUGCUUCUUUGGUGGCAGAGACUCUGCCAGUGUCAGGGGCUGACUAGCACAGGGGAACGAUUCACAGGGUCUCAGGGGCUGGGGUGCACCUCGUGUUAAACUGCGCAGCGAAGACAGGGCUGGCAUUGCCCAGAUUAGAGUGCUCGAGUGGCUAAUAGGCUGAUUGUAUUAGGGAGCGAACACCCAGGUACCAAAAGCAAGGAUCCCUCAUCUUGGAGGCAGGGGGUAACAAGGUGACUCACAGAGAACUGUCACACCUCCCCCUCCUCAAGGGUGCUGAAUGCGGUUUUGUACUCCCACGGAGCUGGCCCCUAUAUUUUAUUUGCACAGAGCUCAUGCCUAUGCAGGUCCCUUAACUUGGGAAGUGGAAUAAUCCACCCUUCCCUGUAAAAUGGCUAUUGCACCACCUAACAUAAUACCAGCCCCUCGUAAAGGGGUGUCUGGCUAAGCCCUGGGUCCCCCUGAGCUAGAAUCUUGAAGUGGGAUAACUCAUUCAUUGGGGGCUUCUGAGGUCAGUUAAAACCCCAAAGCUGGACUUCCACCAUUGACCUUGCUAUUGAUGCUCACCAAAAGGUCAUCAGUUUUUGUUCUGGGAUUUCAGCCAUUUUAAUGCCCUUUUGAGCGAGAGUCUUGAAACAAAUCCCGCUUUGAGCUUGGAUUUCAAAAUCUGAUGCAGUUAUCCAUUAGGAACUCCUCAUUACAGUGAAGAAAACAGCAACCAACUGGCAUCUCCCUCACCAGACUAACAGCUUAUGCAAACAAUAUUAAUUUCUUCUGCAUUGGAUAUGAGGCCUCAAAGAUGAAGAAAUUAAGGUCAUGGGAGAGCACCAGUUCUUUUUAUCAGAAAAUUGGAAGGUAAAAAAAGUGCACCACAGGUGCUGAUGUUAGCAUUUAAUAAAAGCCUCAUAGACUAAGGUCGACAGGGACCAUCAUGAUCACCUCGUGUGACCUCUGGCACACUGCAGGCCACAGAACCUCACCCAACCACUCCUGUAAUAGACCACAACCUCUAGCUGAGUUACUGAAGUCCUCAAAAACUUCAAGUUACAGAGGAUCCAUCAUUUACAAUAGUUUAAAUGUGUAAGUGACCUGUGCCCCAUGCUGCAGAGGAAGGUGAAAGCUCCCAGGGGGUUUUAAGCCUCUUUAAAAUUACAUUGUUAUAAAAUAAUUUACAACCUAGCCUGGUCAAAAUGAGGAUUGUGUGCAUAUUCCUAGUCCGCUCCCAUUAAGGGGCUGUUGGCUGGUUCUCUCUUUCAGUCACAGUCUUAAAGGUAAAGUAACUAGGUUAUGCUCAUGUCAUUUUACUGAAUUAUUCUGCGCUAUAUUAAAUCCGAUUUUUUCAACAGCACCAAGUGUCUGUCCUGGCUCCUCCAGUUUAUCUGCCUGUGUGGUCUCUUCUGGCUCCUCCUGCCUAUCAGCCCCCCAGUUCAGCCAUCUGGUUUCAAAAGCUAAUUCAGCACUAAUGAGGCUCCAUGCUCAGGACAGUGCCAAGCACUCGAGGAAAUGCCUUAUCAUAGGGGCAGGUUGAUGCGGAGUUGACAAACUGGCCGUUGGAGUUGUUUGCAUUGUGCUACGUGGUCUUGAGGUUUUGGAUUCUUUCCCUGCACGGAGUCUCCUCCUCUGUCAGCCUCUUGGAGAUGUUCUCCAAGGGGUUGAUUGUGGGUUGUACAUCUCCCCAAAUUGUGGCCCUUAGUGAUUUCACACUGGAGGUCCACCAGAACCUGGGCGUAAGCCUCUGGCCAGCUAGCUGGGAUGAGGAACUCCUGGACUGCCUCUCUGCUCAAGCGCUGUGGAGAAAUGGAGCAUGCCGCAUGGACUGUGGGGUUUAGAGGUCGAGCCAAUGUAUAUAAACUGGUAGGUGACUUCUAGUGCAGAAGAAGAGAGUUGGUAUAAGGGUAGGAAAAUACAGUCCUGGGGAAUUAUGGGAAGGCUUUGGAGGACUAGCAGCACUUGAGUUAAGUAGCCUGCAGCCACACUGCAAAUUGGGGAGAGUUAAAGUCUGAGUUAAAGCAGAACCCAAGCUCUAAUUUAUAGCCUUAGCUGAAUCAGCUAGUCCAGGCUUAAAACACCGCCAAACCCCAGAGGAGAGGGUUUUGUGUGUGGAGGGAGGUGACGUAGAGAUAAACCAGGGGUCGGGUCUUGCAGUGAAGAUAUACACUUAUAGGGUUAAAAUGAUCACCACCAGACUGGGGACAUUGGCAGGGACCUUGGGCAUCUCCCGCCUUCCUCUGAACCACUGAGCACACAUUGCCUGUUAGGAUUUAUCUCAGAUGAUUGAUUGUCUGCAAUGGCAUGGGAAGCAGGGAGGGUGCUGGGGGCCCUCUAUCCCUGUCUUGCACUCAUAGGACUGCCAUCAAUGGAAGAGCCUUGUUAGAUUAUCUAGUAAUCCUCCCUCUCUGGCCAUUACAAAAAAUGUUCCCUUACGACAUGUUUUCCAAUGCUUUGUUUUACGUAUCUCCAACAACUUCCUUUAAGAACCUAUUCCACAGCCUAGAUCUCCCAGACAGGAAGGCUGUCCUGAUAUACAACUCAAAAUUUCCUUUCCACAAUAUUAACCCAUUACUCCUAGCUCUAGCACCCUUGAUCCAUCCCAAACGCCUCCUCUCUCUCCUUGGGGAUACUUGCAGACCGUUGUUUAACCAAACUGUGUAUCAGAAAUGGACUAAAUUCAUUUGUUUAUUCUUUGGCCUGUUCCCCCCAUAAAGUGGCACCAGUUCAACUAAAGGUGUGAUUUUAAACUGAUUUAGCUAAACAGGUACCCCUUUGUGUGCAGCCACACUUAAAUUGAUUUAAGCCUGAUAUCAGCCAUGCUUGCACCUGCAACAGACAUAAGAGUGUCCACACAUGGGUUUGCACUGGUGUAGCUAAAUCAGUUUUUAAGUCAAUUUAAAUUAAACCAGUGCAAGUUGUGCGUAUAGACAAACCCUUUGAUAGCAUCCCAGAGAAUGGUUCUCAGGAUUGGAUGAGCAAUCUUAAUAACUAAGGUUCUCCUGCCUGAGAUUUGGAGUCAACUAGCAGCGGACGUAAAUGAAGCAUGAAACAUCUUGGAUGUAUAGGAAACUGGGAAGAAACAUAGCACCUGAGGCAAGACACUGGUGAGGGUGAGUGGGGGAGACCAACACAGACCUCUCCCAUGAAAAAAAAUAAAAAUAAAAUGCAACAGAGCAAAAAAAUAGCUUAUGAGCUGCCGGAUUCAUGCAAUAAUGUCUGCUACAAAGAGUUGAUUUACCAGCGUCUUUCCUCACCUGGGUAGAGGAGAGGAUGCCUGGAGGACCAGAAGCCAGGAGGGUAUCCAAAAGAGCCUAGUGUCCCAGAACAGCAGGAGCCUGAAAGCCGAGGGAUUGAGACAAGUGUAGCCUGUCCUUCCAUCCAAAAGACUCUAAACACAGCAGUGCAAAUGCAAACAGCUGAAGAGCUGGCUGGCUUGUGCAGCGAUGUCCAAUGUAGGCCACUGAAGUUAAUGGAAAACUCCCAUUGACUUCACUGGGCUUUGGAUCAGGCCUUCAGAGGAGGUGCGGAUGUUUUGCCUGACCUCUUAAUACUUUUGCAGUCUCAUUGACCAGGCUUCUCUGUCUUUCAUUCCACCCCGCUCCAACCAUCCACCGGGGUGGCUGACCUUGAAGGUUGUUAUCUGUUCAUCUUUGACAGAUCCAAAUACUUUAUAAACUGCAGGAAUCUUGAAGGGACUGCAUCCAAAUCAACAAUUCAUCCCAUUACUGCUACAGUAGAACCUCAGAGUUACGAGCACCCCGGGAAUGGAGGUUGUUUGUAACUCGGAAAUAUUCAUAAUUCUGAACAAAACAUUGUGGCUGUUCUUUCCAAAGUUUACAACUGAACAUUGACUUAAUAUAGCUUUGAAACUUUAUUAUGCAGAAGAAAAAUGCUGCUUUCCCUUUAUUUUUUUUAGUGGCUUACAUUUAGCACAGCAUUGUACUGUAUUUGCAUUUUUUCUUUUUUGGUCUUUGCUGCUGCCUGAUGGGAAAUUCCAGUUGCAAAUGAGGUGUGUGGUUGACUGGUCAGUUCGUAACUGAGGUUCUACUGUACAUAUAGCUUUUUUAAUGUGCCUUCUUUUGUUAGCCCCUUAUUCUCCCUUGGACACAGAGCUCAUGGACUCUCAUUGGAAUCAUUCAUUUGUAUAGGCUUGGAUAAGAAAGCUGUAGUGGGGACUGACUCGAGGGCCAUAAGUAGAGGAGAAUAACAAAGCAGUAAUGUGCUGAGCUGGGAGGGACGGUAUCUAGAGAGGGUGCCAUCAGGACUGGUGCAAGGUCCCAUGGUAUUUAUAUGUUAAUUAAUAAUCUGGAAGUGGGAAGAAAGAGCUCAUUAACGAUACUCACAAAUGAUGCUAAAUUGGAAACACAUACAGAAGUAAUACAAAAGGGACUGAAAGCAACCAGGAAAGGGGCAAGAGAUUCAAUUUGGAAAAAGGGGGAAAUGAUUUGUGUUUCUAAAGACAUACGUAAAUGAAUAGGUACAAUAAGAAAGACACCUACAGGCAGAUAUACAAGCAGGUAGAACAAAGGUAUAAAAGAAAAUACUACAGAUUAAUUAAAUACAUAACAAUUUUGUGUGUGUGCAUUAUGGUAACAUCUCGUGGGCCCAACUGGGUUCAAGGUUGCAUUGUGCUAGGUGCUGUAUAUAGUAAGAGACUGUCCUUACCUCAAAGAGUUUAUAGUCUGAAUAGGCAAAGGAUGGGUGAGAGGAAGGAUUAUUAUCCCUGCUUUACUGAUGAGGCACUGAGAAAUGAAGGGACUUUCCUACAAUCACACAGAGGUGGGGGCUGGUGUCUCAUCUGGGUGCAGCACAGUGUAACUUUAGCUCAGGGCCAUUCCUAUUUGUCUUUGCUCCUUGCAUGUUAUGAAUAGAUAUUAGCUGGAGCUCAAUGGUCUCCAAACUGGUCUUGGAACCGUCCGAGUCAAGCUGGGAUUUGUUCCCUUGUUCAUGUAUUUUCUUUAGUCCUACAAUUAAAACGUUGCUUUCUUUCAUGAGCCAUACAUAAUAUGUUGGUGCAUUUCCCUGCAGCUGUUAAUACUCAAAAAAGUGUUAUCUGCCAUUGACCUGAGGAUUAAGGGGAGCAUCUCCCACAAUAUAACAAGGCAGGGUUUCUAGCAGAAUAACAGGUUCUGAGAGCUGUCAGUAUGUACCAGCGGAAUGUUUGGCUCUCUGCACAGGGCCCCGAAAUUGAGGUGUGUUUACAACAGUUACAUAAUGAGGUGUUACCCAGGGAAGCAAGCUUGUUUGUUUUAAUCACACUUUUUUCUGCCUUUAGUCUCCAAUGUCCCAGUUCCGAGCUGCAGCUGAACUGAGUUCAUAGACUCAGAGGCGGGGGAGAAGAGGGAAGAACGAGAAGGUGGCUGUAUGCCAGCUUUGUGGCAGCUUGAAUUUUGGUGACAUCUGGGGAGAGCGGGGGCGGGGGGAGGAGAUCAGUCCAGUCCCCGCUCUGAUCUACAGUAGCCCAAAGGCUACAUUAAUGUCCUUUCAGCUGCAACUGGUCACAAAGCACUGGCACCCAAAACCAGAGGGAGCACUGAGGUGCGCCAGUCCCCUGCCCUUCACCAGGGCUGCCAGGGGUGUGGCAAAUAGCCAUUCUUCCAGCUCUGGGCGUCCUGAGAACCCCUCUCCUCUAUGCUAGCGAGACUCCCAGGUGGCUGGUUCCAAGGCCCCUUUGGGACAGCAAAGCCAACCGAAAGGGGCUGCAGUGCAACCUACAAUGGAGGCAAAGUGCUUUUGAUUUCUGGGCACUCGGGCUGCACUGAGGUACAAUUAAGGAAGCAGGUGUCUGUCGCUCCAGACCCAAAAGAUUGUGGCAUUUUAAGUGCGUAAGCAGGGCCUUGUUUAACAGCCGAUUGCUGGCUCUUGCUAACGGCAUGUUUCCAACAGGUUUUGGAAGCAAGUCCUGACUUGCCAAAGUCAGGGCACUGCCUCAGUCUGUCCUGGAUGAACCCCCAUGUUGCAGGUGACUGAGCGCUCAUGUGUUUGCUUAUUUGCGUACAGGCAUUUCAGUGGCAGACACCGUUGCAGCACUGGAUAUAAUUAGCAGUUUGGGGUUUUUUUAAAUACACAGAGCACUUGACAGAACCCACAGGAAGCCAUAGCCUAGCCUCAAAGAAUGUCCAGACUUGGGCCUGAUGCCGGAAGACUACCAGGCACCGUCCUUGCCCCCAUGAAUGGUCCAACUGUCUUCUGCGCAAUUAGUCAUUGUAAGAAACACUUAGCCUGGUAAUAAGUGUCUGCAGGACCUUAAUUUUAGACAUGACAAGUAAAUGCAACAAACAAAAGGCAGGGGAGGAGCUGAGAUAAUAUGGUGAUGAGGACUAUAUGAAUACCUAGUGAGACUGUGUGUGUGUGUGAGAGAGAGAGAGAGAGAGAGAGAGAGGUGUGUGUGUGUGUGUGUGUGAGAGAGAGAGAGAGAGAGAGAGAGAGAAGAAAGCAAACUGCACAAAACCGAGGUCCUGUGUUCACUCAAUCCAAGUGCAUGGAUAUUGUGAGGGUGCCAUUAAAAGUGGUCCUAUACCACUGACUCUGGUUUUGUGGACAUCAUGGAAGAAGUGCAUAUUCAGGGGGAGUGUGAAGGGGACAGUGUUCCAUCAUCAUCCGAUUGGGUCUCACAUUUGUCAGGCCUCCUUGUGGGUAUUUGCUGACUGAGGGCUGCUGGCAGAGAACUUGAAAAGCAUUCCAAUGCUAAUUUAAAUAAAUGAAUGACUCAGAAUGGUUUGCCUUGGAGAAGGGCAUUUUAGCCAGCCAUUGAAGCAUCAAAUACCUCAGGGAUUCUUAAUUUGCAGAGCUAUUUUCUUUUCCCUUUCAGGUGCUUCUUUUUUUAAGCCUCUUUCCUUUGAUGUAGCCAGAGUCUCUCACAGGUACUGUAAAUCAAGGUAUAGGAGGUACAUUUGAUACAUUUCCUCCAGUUUGAAGAGCUCUCAGGGACAUGUAUUUAAAAGGGUGUUUUUCUGACAUUUAUUGCGGCCGCUGUUACUGAUCAGCGUGCAAAGGGACAUUAUGGUGGUCUGACUUUUUUUUUUUUUUUUUUUUUUGGUUCCCAUUGGGAUGACAAAUCCUCACUCUUGGAAGCACAUUCCAAGUAGCCAGGUGGGAGCAGAUGUGCUGGAGCAGAGGGAAAGAAUCCUCGUUCUACCUCAAACAGCAGCUGCAGAGUUACUCCAUGGAAGCUAGCUACUGUGCAUCUUGGUGGCUGGCGUCAUCUCUUCAGCCCCUUAUUUGGCCACCAGAGGAUGGAGGAUCUUGCAUGUGUCCAAUACACCAUAGAUACCUUAAGGACAAAAGGAGCUCAGGCCUGCAGGAACUGCUUUUAAAUUCACAGUGAUCACAGACUGUACUGGGGUUGGGGGAGGAAUGGAUAGAUAUCUGCAGCCUUCCUGCCCCACACCUUUCCUGUCACCUGACUCCCCUCACACAUAGUGCCAAAAAACAUCAUCAAUAGCAAUUACAGGGCUGCAAAGUUCAAAUGUUCCAGAGGGACAGUGCUGCUCACUUUUGUCAUGCUUGGUGUUUUUCUUAAACCCCCAGUGCCUGGAGUCAUGUGAUUCUGAGACUCAGCUUUCAUUUGUUUAAAAAUAGAACCCUCAUGGGUGCAGAGAAAAAGCUUGAACACAUGACCGGUGUGCACCCGUCUCCUCCCCAAAGGCCCAGAAAUAAGAAAGCAAUUAUAAAAUUAAUUGCGUUUAUUUUUAAGCCCAUGAUUUGUAUGCCAGUCUCAUGAUUUGAGGCCUGAACGCUUGGGGUUGAUAAUAGUGCAGUGAACGCCACAGUCUACUAAAAAACACAGGAAAGUCCUUGGACACGGGCCUAGGAAUGUCUGUCUUUCUGGGAAACGCUUAAUCAAGGCAUCGAGACUCAGCAGCUCACAAACUCAGAGCUUUCUUGAUGCGACUAGAACUCAUGUUAACUCUUUCCUUGUUCUACUGCCUUCCUAUGUUCAGCCUUUCUGGUUCAUGGCCUAUGUUUAAAAGGUGUUAAUCGUCAGAGCAGGGACCAGAUUCAUUUUAAUCUCUGUGUAAUAACAACAACAAAAGAUAUGGUGCUACAUACAUAGUUAAUAGCAAACAUCAUCUGUGAGGCAGCAGAGUAUUUACACGAGUUCCUAAAGUCCUGGCCCAGAAUGCACUAGAUUCAGUGUAAAGCCUAGGAUGGAUGCUCUGGAAGCAGCCUCUUCUUUGGUUGGUGGCUAUCUAGGGAUACUAAAUGCUUUGGUAACUUUUUAUAAAAUGUCCUUUUAAGCUAAAGGGGGAGGCGUAUGUAGUAUAAAGGGCUUGGGUAGCAUCCCUUUACAUAGCUCUACUAGAGGGCGGCUCACAGUGGUCUAAAUUUCAGAAACCAGACAGAGCAGCAGUGUUGAGAUGUUUAGUAAACACGGUUUAGAUCCUAAUGGGCCCCUGUGGUUCCUUCUUAUUUCAUAUAUGGCCCAAAAGGCAGAAGACACAGCAGAGGCUCCAAGUUCUCAGCUAAACAGUAGGGAAUGUCCUAAGGACCUCGUACAUGCAAUUCAGUCACUCUCCUAGACUCUCUCUCUCAUUUAAAGCAAUCUCACCAGUUAUUGGUAACAAGAAGAGAUCAAACCUUUUAAGAAACAGUAUUGUUAAGUUGACAGUUAUUUUAAUGGAGGACAUUGAGGGAAAUGUAAAUCCUAGGAAAGAACAAUGUUAAGGGAACUGGGCCUUUGAGGGGAUGUCUAUGCAGCAAUGAAAACCCCCCCGGCUGGCCUGUGCCAGCUGACUUGGUUUGUGGCGCUGUUUAAUUGGGGUGCAGAUGUUCAGGCUCGGGCUGCAGCCCGGGCUCUAGAACCCUGUGAGGUUGGAGGGUCCCAGAGCUCAAACUGCAGCCUAAACCGUGUCUACAUGGCAAUUAAACCAACCCUUAGCCAGAGCCAGCUGGCACGGGCCAACCGUGGGUGUCUAGUUGCAGUGUAGACAUACCCGGAGAGAACUUAAAAGGUGGCACGGGAGUAGUAUGUAGGAAGGAUACAGAGGUGGAUAUACGCUGUUAGUCACUACGAACAGUUCUACUAGCACAUGAUAAUAUGUAACAUUGUUCAUAGGUUAGUGGGACCAAUAAAGUUAUCAGUGUGCACUACAAAUGGCUUCCUUAUCACAAAGCUCUUAAGAGGAAGCUCCAGGAGCUUUGAUUACCGUGCCCCAGAAUACACUGGCCACCAAACUUGUCCCUCCAAGUGCCGUGCCAGCAUAUCCUAUUCCUUUGAAGGUGCUGGACACAGCAAGACAAGCUGUUACUCUUGCUGCUCUGUUACACUGGAAGCUCUUAAGAUGCUGACCCCCAACCCCUAAGCAGUGCUCCAGUCCUUAAAAAAAAAAAAAAAAAAAGUGUAGUACCAGAAUGCACUGCUGGUAAGUGAAAAUACCGGGAGUACCAGAAUGUGGAGACAGCUUCCCCAAGACAGUGCUGGAACAGGGUUUUCCAGCAUUCCCAUAGACUCAAGUCCCACCCAUGGGUCUCUACUGUUAGGUUUUUCCUUUCACUGAAUAAAUGUGUUUCAGAUUAUUUACCCCUGACAUUCAUUAACUUUACAAAGCUGAAUUCAAAUUUGUGGUUUCCUACUUAUCUUUAGCACAUCUUUGACUCCCAACUCCUUGCAACUGUGGGGCCUGUUCUCAUUUCCAUUGAAGACAGUGGCAAAACUUCUAUAGGAGCAGCUCCUCCAUAGUAAAGAACAGUCAGCAGCUCAGACAGGCACUUAAGCUGUCCUGGAGCACAGGUGGUGUAACUUGUGGCUUUAAAAUAUUUAGUCACAUGCUAAGCGAACAGGCUUGUCUGCGAUUAAAUCUACCAAGGAGGGGAGGAGACAGGAAACAUGUGGGUGGUUUGUGAGUGUUUAUAUCUGCAGCUCAGUUUCCAGGAGUUCUUCACUGCUCUUACUCCAAGCAGAGUAACCAAAAGGUACAGUUUUUCCCUCCAUUUCAGUAUCCUUGUAAGUAACAGCCAGUCACCUACCCUCACACAUGUGGUCAGAAGCACACCAGUGGGCAAUUCAGCCAUAUAAGGCACCAGAGUUUGACUAUCCUAAUCCCAAACUAGUGUGCAAACAGCUCAAGGGGAACUCUCUGUUGAAAUCUUGAAUCAGACUGCCUGCCGCCGUAACCACAAAGCUGCUUAAUAAGAAGGCCCAGAUCAAAGGCCCAAGCUAAUUCUGGAUCAAAGGUGGAUACACACUUGUAACCACAGGGAAAACCCAGUUGUGGGACUUGAAGACCAAAACUCUGCAGAGCCUAAGGUUGGAGCUGGGGUGACGUCUGGUAAGCUUUUUAGUGUGUGGAAGUUCUUUAUGGUUUUCAUAGGUUUUCUCUAUAAUGUUUUCACCUUAAGAAUAAAUGCGCUUUCCUAGAAGGAGUUUGUGGUAACUUAUAACUGUUAGUAAUACACUGGUCAUAGCCCGUGGAGAGAAAGCAGAGCGCAGAUGCUGGCCUUUUUGGGCAGUCUGGCUUGCUGGGGACAUCACAGCGUAAGCAGGGAACUAUGCAGCCUUAAAAUCCCUGGUCAGGCAGGAGUAAUAUGUGGGUCUUCAUCCAAGAAAGGUCAUGCGUGGGAGCCAGAAGCCUAAAGUGGGUGCCCUGGGUGGAUCAGUGAGGGGGAAUACAGUCCGGUUGCCCUGAAACCGUGACACAUGGAACAACAUUAGAGGACCAUCCCUUCUUGUGGUUUACCACUUUGAACUUCUCUAGAUGCUGGAUGAAACUUGGAGCCUCCCAAGGCAGAGGUGGAUUAAGGCCAUAAACAGACUGGCUGAUUUGAGCCUCAUGCUUUGAGAGGACCUCCAGAUUUUGAAAAAUAGCUCUCUUCCCUUACCCACCAGGGUGGUCCAUGCAGUCUGAAUCCAGCCCUGUUCUGAGCUAUACUCUGCACGUUAGGGAAUGGCCAGACCAUUUAGUUACUGGGCUCAUUCCCAUCUGAUUUUAUGAUAGUUUCUUACACUUAACCCCCCCACCCCAAGAGCUCAGAGUAACUGUAGAAGACUCUCACCAGUCGGUGCACUCCCUUGUGGCAGGGCAUGAUGUUGCAGGACCUUCUCAUCAGUCACCUCCACUGGACAGCCAGUCAGGCUUGCUGGUGGUCAAGUUAUUCUGGUGAUCUGGGCCUCUGGCCAGGUCACAUUCAGGCUCACCCCUUCCAGGGUAAACCAGGAAUCCAACAAAAUGACAGUCCCCUGCCCUCACACUGGACCUUCAGCGUGACUCAAGAGUCAGUAGUCUUCACCCCUUGUAUCAAGGGUUUCUGCACCACCUUCCUCAGUAGGCCGUAGGGCAGCGGGCCUCAACCUAUAUACCAUUCUGGGCUGCAUAUGCGGCCUACAAUAUGUUACGUGGGGUGCAUCCAAUACUACCUGUAUGGCCCUGAUGUCACAUGAACUGCAGCUGUGUGCUGGUUGGGCCACAAGCAGCCCAAGGCCACAGGUUGAGAACCACUCCCUUAGGGGAACCAACACUCUCCUUCUAUUCUAGAGUCCAGUCCAGGGACCCUCUAGCAAGCACACUAAGAUGGUCUACUCAGACACCUUGUUUUUAUCCCUGGACCGCUUCCUCCCUGGCCCUAUUUCAGAGCUCUUGCCGGACUCAGCAGGUCUCUCAGUCGGCCUCUUCUCUAGGCCUAUUGCAAAGAGCUUCCUAACACCUUACUACCAUCUCUUUUGCUCUAUGCGAAUUUUUCUACUCCAUCCAGAGGUAGGGUUACUACUGCCGAGACAUAAUAAGAACAGCCAUUGGCCAUCACCCAAACACCAACAAAAGCCAGCCACUGGCCACCUAACAAAAAGGAUCUGGCUACAGCUAAAGUGUUUGAGGGAAACAUUUUACACACACACACAGAUUUUAAAGUGUAUUUUGAUGUUAUUUUAUCACUUUACCUGGAUUACAGGGAUGUGAAACAUAGAACAUUCUAACGCACCCCAACUGAAAAAAAAAAACAAAAAACUAACAGCACAUUAACGCUAUCGACUAACAAGGAAGCUAGCUGAAAACCAGGCACAUAGCAACCCUAUUCAUAGGUCAACUCCCCGACGCUGCAGGCAUCUAUAACAAAGUGGAGAUCCCCAGUGCAUAUUCACUUCCCCUUGCUUUCCUUCCUGUUUAUAACUCCACCAGCCUCUAUCAUAGUGACCCAGCUCCUCUGCAGUGGGCCUAAUGCUAAAUUGGGCAUGGCCCACCCUCCAGGGACCACCAGGAGGGCUAAUUGGGCUCUUAGGCUCCUGUUAACCCUUUGUUUGCCAGCGUGGGGUCUAUACACACCAUCCCAGGAACCUUCACUUUGGAUUUCCAGGCUAACAGUUGUUUUUUGAGAAAUCUGCCAUACUCUCUCAGGGGUGUUUUAAAUCAUGGAUAUUUACAAUCUUCAGGCCACAUUCAGCGUUUUGCCAACUAUUUCCUGUGGUACUCUGUAACUCAAAGCAGCACCCUGGAAUCCCCAUUUUCAUCACUGUCAUAAUUAGGAUGUGUUUUGUACAAAGUAUGCCUUGUGAGGUAUCAUUUUUAAAGUCUUGAUCUGUGGAACAUGAAUAUCCUGUUGGAUGGUAUGUGCUGUUGUUGUAUGGGAAGUGAUGACAUUUUGCUAUGUGUGUGUGACUGAAAUAUGUUGUGAGGUUGGGAAUACCUUUCAGGUACAACAAUGGAGCAGCCAGACGCACUGAUGGCCAGUGAAGGGAAUCCACUCCCCCAACAUCUCAGAGAGAGCGUAUAUACAAUGGAGGCUGCUUGACCCACAUUAUCGCAAAAGAUCUUUUCAGCAAGCUGGAAGAAACUAUAAAGAGAAGUGACAUCAUGACUUGGCCUCACCCCUCCCACAACUCAACACCUGGAAACAUGUCUAGAGGACAAAGUCUUUGAACCAGGGGAGGGUGGUCCAGGGCUGGAAGGCAGUUCCAGCCUAUGCACUGAAGAUCUGUGACCAGUUUGUACCAUCUGUCAGGGUGAGACACUACUUGACUCAAAUUCUGUUUAGUUUAUAGAACUCAGACUGCAAAUUUCUUUUUGUGUCUUAGGUAACCAACUUUGAUCUCUAUGCUUGCUAAUUAUAAUCACUUAAAAUCUAUCUGUCUGUACUUAAUAAAUCUGUUUUACAUUUUACCUAAACAGUGUGUUUUGGUUGAAGUGUUUGGGAAAUCUCAGCUCAGUUUACAAAGGCCAGUGUGCGUCCUCUCCACAUCGAGAGAGACAAACUGGGCAAUGAACGUACACUGGUCAGGCUUCUGACCAGGGCAAGACAGUACAGUUCUGGGGUGCACGGCUGGGGAGCUGGGGGUAAUUGGCUGGAUCCUCUCUAUUGUUGGUUCAUGAGUGUCUGGGGAAAACAUUCAGGCAACUCAGUUGAGUGUGUCCCUGCCGGUGGAGGUCAGUGUAAGUGCUGCACCUGCCAGAGGUUUGUAGCUUGCC
Chelonia mydas (Green sea turtle) is the source of this 15412-nucleotide long non-coding RNA. RefSeq lists it as uncharacterized. NCBI's taxonomy places the organism in Eukaryota, Metazoa, Chordata, Testudines, Cheloniidae. The record is from RefSeq and is a predicted model, not a curated record. The transcript is spliced from 3 exons.